UACGGAGGAUGCAGGCGUUAUCCGGAUUUAUUAGGUUUAAAGGGUGCGUAGGCGGACUGGUAAGUCAGUGGUGAAAUACUGCAGCUUUACUGUAGAAUUGCCGUUGAUACUGUCAGUCUUGAGUAUGGUUAAGGUAGGCGGAAUGUGUAAUGUAGCGGUGAAAUGCUUAGAUAUUACACAGAACACCGAUUGCGAAGGCAGCUUACUGAACCAUAACUGACGCUGAGGCACGAAAGCGUGGGGAGCGAACAGG
This 253-nucleotide ribosomal RNA is filed under the name uncultured bacterium. Its description in RNAcentral is "partial 16S ribosomal RNA". It matches the Rfam family "Bacterial small subunit ribosomal RNA", at positions 524 to 776 of the family's 1533-position model. The record is from RNAcentral.